GAUGAACGCUGGCGGCGUGCCUAAUACAUGCAAGUCGAGCGAAAAGACGAGGCGAUUGCCUGUCGGAUGUUAGAGGCGGACGGGUGAGUAACGAGUGGAUCCACUACCUAUGAGACUGGGAUAAAUUCGGGAAACCGGAGCUCAUACCGGAUAAUAUAGUGAACCGCAUGGUUCAAUAGUGAAAGACGGUUUUGCUGUCACUUAUAGAUGGGUUAGGUCGUGAUUAGCUAGUUGGUCAGGUCACGGCUUACCAAGGCAUCGAUGGGUAGGAGGCCUGAGAGGAUGACCGGCCACACUGGGACUGAGACACGGCCCAGACUCCUACGGGAGGCAGCAGUGGGGAAUCUUCGACAAUGGGCGAAAGCCUGAUGCAGCAACGCCGCGUGAAGGAUGAAGGCCUUCGGAUCGUAAAACGCUUUUGUAAGGAAAGAAACAGUUUGGAAGUAACCAUGCACCUCUUGACGGUACCGAAUGAGUAAGCCACGGCUAACUACGUG
RNAcentral lists this ribosomal RNA (497 nucleotides) under uncultured bacterium. RNAcentral describes it as "partial 16S ribosomal RNA". It matches the Rfam family "Bacterial small subunit ribosomal RNA", at positions 28 to 507 of the family's 1533-position model. The record is from RNAcentral.